UACAGAGGUCUCGAGCGUUGUUCGGAUUCAUUGGGCGUAAAGGGUGCGUAGGCGGCGGGGUAAGUCUGAUGUGAAAUUCCAGGGCUCAACCUUGGGACUGCAUUGGAUACUGCCUUGCUAGAGAACUGGAGAGGAGACUGGAAUUUACGGUGUAGCAGUGAAAUGCGUAGAGAUCGUAAGGAAGACCAGUGGCGAAGGCGAGUCUCUGGACAGAUUCUGACGCUGAGGCGCGAAGGCCAGGGGAGCAAACGGG
RNAcentral lists this ribosomal RNA (253 nucleotides) under uncultured bacterium. RNAcentral describes it as "partial 16S ribosomal RNA". It matches the Rfam family "Bacterial small subunit ribosomal RNA", at positions 524 to 776 of the family's 1533-position model. The record is from RNAcentral.